ACCUUCCAUCACAGUCUAUUUAAUGCAUGAAAAGGGGCGGAAGAAAUAUCCCUUAGGUCUGGGGAAACUGUCAGGGACAGUGACAUCAGACGCAAAACCACCAACCAGGGCCAAGGAGACCAGAGCCCAGCCCCCUUGCCGGGUCGUCCUGGUUAGACAGACGAUGCCACCUCGGCCCGUCUGCACCAUGGGCUGCACGCUGCUCUGCUGUGUGGCCCUGUGUCUCCUGGGAGCAGUCCCCAUGGACACUGGAGUUACUCAGAUACCAAAGCACCUGGUCAUGGGAAUGAGAAGUAAGAAGUCUUUGACAUGCGAACAACGCCUGGGACAUAAUGCUAUGUACUGGUAUAAGCAGAGCGCUCAGAAGCCCCCACAGCUCAUGUUUUCCUACAACUAUAGGGAACUCAGGGAAAACAUGACUGUCCCGAGCCGCUUCUCACCUGAAUGCCCAGACAGCUCCCACUUACACCUUCACGUGGACGCCCUGGAGCCAGAAGACUCCGCUGUGUAUCUCUGUGCCAGCAGCCAAGACACAGCCUUGCAGAGUCACCUUCUGCCUGUGCAGAAACCUCCCGGGUCCAGCCAGGAAGCUGUGGGGCCACCAGGGCUCCGCUCAGCAUUUCCCGUGAGGCCCUAGACGGAACU
This is a non-coding RNA of Hipposideros armiger (great roundleaf bat), 645 nucleotides long. The record is from the annotation of a RefSeq genome assembly. NCBI's taxonomy places the organism in Eukaryota, Metazoa, Chordata, Mammalia, Chiroptera, Hipposideridae.